This 458-nucleotide ribosomal RNA is filed under the name uncultured bacterium. RNAcentral describes it as "partial 16S ribosomal RNA". It matches the Rfam family "Bacterial small subunit ribosomal RNA", at positions 338 to 795 of the family's 1533-position model. The record is from RNAcentral.
CCUACGGGUGGCAGCAGUGAGGAAUAUUGGUCAAUGGCCGGAAGGCUGAACCAGCCAUGCCGCGUGAAGGUCAGUGCCCUAUGGGCGUUAAACUUCUUUUGUGCGGGAGCAAUAAUGGUCACGUGUGGCCAGACGAGAGUACCGUACGAAUAAGCAUCGGCUAACUCCGUGCCAGAAGCCGCGGUAAUACGGGGGAUGCAAGCGUUAUCCGGAUUUAUUGGGUUUAAAGGGUGCGUAGGCGGAAUAUCAAGUCAGCGGUAAAAAUUCGGGGCUAAACCCCGUCGUGCCGUUGAAACGGAUGUACGUGAGUGGGCGAGAGGUAUGCGGAAUGCGUGGUGUAGCGGUGAAAUGCAUAGAUAUAACGAAGAACUCCGAUUGCGAAGGCAGCAUACCGGCGCCCAACUGACGCUGAAGCACGAAAGCGUGGGUAUCGAACAGGAUUAGAUACCCGAGUAGUC